RNAcentral lists this ribosomal RNA (445 nucleotides) under uncultured bacterium. RNAcentral's name for it is "partial 16S ribosomal RNA". It matches the Rfam family "Bacterial small subunit ribosomal RNA", at positions 354 to 796 of the family's 1533-position model. The record is from RNAcentral.
GUGAGGAAUAUUGCGCAAUGGAGGCAACUCUGACGCAGCCAUGCCGCGUGCAGGAAGAAGGCGCUACGCGUUGUAAACUGCUUUUAACCGGGAAGAAACCCCAGGACGUGUCCUGGGUUGACGGUACCGGAGGAAUAAGCACCGGCUAACUUCGUGCCAGCAGCCGCGGUAAUACGAAGGGUGCAAGCGUUAUCCGGAUUCAUUGGGUUUAAAGGGUGCGUAGGCGGAGCGUUAAGUCAGUGGUGAAAUCCUGCAGCUUAACUGUAGACUUGCCAUUGAUACUGGCGCUCUUGAGUGCGCUUGAAGUGGGCGGAAUGUGCCGUGUAGCGGUGAAAUGCUUAGAUAUGGCACAGAACACCAAUUGCGAAGGCAGCUCACUAAGGCGAUACUGACGCUGAGACACGAAAGCGUGGGGAUCGAACAGGAUUAGAUACCCUGGUAGUCC